GCGUGAAUGAAGAAGGCCUUAGGGUUGUAAAGUUCUUUCGUUGGUGAAGAUAAUGACGGUAACCAAAGAAGAAGCCCCGGCUAAUUUCGUGCCAGCAGCCGCGGUAAUACGAAAGGGGCUAGCGUUGUUCGGAAUUACUGGGCGUAAAGCGCACGUAGGCGGCAAUGUAAGUUGGGGGUGAAAUCCCGGAGCUCAACUCCGGAACUGCCUCCAAAACUACAUAGCUUGAGGAUGUGAGAGGAUAGUGGAAUUCCGAGUGUAGAGGUGAAAUUCGU
RNAcentral lists this ribosomal RNA (275 nucleotides) under uncultured bacterium. RNAcentral describes it as "partial 16S ribosomal RNA". It matches the Rfam family "Bacterial small subunit ribosomal RNA", at positions 399 to 691 of the family's 1533-position model. The record is from RNAcentral.